AGGAUUAACGCUGGCGGCGUGCCUAACACAUGCAAGUCGAACGAGGUAGCAAUACCUAGUGGCAGACGGGUGAGUAACGCGUGGUCAACCUACCGUUGAGUGGGGGAUAACUAGCCGAAAGGUUAGCUAAUACCGCAUACGUCUCCGAGGGGCAUCCCUUGGCGAUAAAAGGAGCAAUCCGCUCGAUGACGGGACCGCGUCCCAUUAGCUAGAUGGUGGGGUAACGGCCUACCAUGGCACCGAUGGGUAGCUGGUUUGAGAGAGCGACCAGCCACACUGGGACUGAGAAACGGCCCAGACUCCUACGGGGGGCAGCAGUGAGGAAUUUUCGUCAAUGGGGGCAACCCUGAACGAGCAACGCCGCGUGCAGGAAGAAGGUUUUCGGAUCGUAAACUGCUUUUCUCGGGGAAGAGAACGGACGGUACCCGAGGAAUCAGCCCCGGCUAACUACGUGCCAGCAGCCGC
This 465-nucleotide ribosomal RNA is filed under the name uncultured bacterium. RNAcentral describes it as "SSU rRNA". It matches the Rfam family "Bacterial small subunit ribosomal RNA", at positions 26 to 518 of the family's 1533-position model. The record is from RNAcentral.